This 364-nucleotide transfer-messenger RNA is filed under the name Actinomycetota bacterium. Its description in RNAcentral is "partial transfer-messenger RNA". It matches the Rfam family "transfer-messenger RNA". Rfam says of the family: Bacterial tmRNA, also known as 10Sa RNA or SsrA, is named for its dual tRNA and mRNA-like properties. Its role is to liberate the mRNA from a stalled ribosome. The record is from RNAcentral. Lineage: Bacteria; Bacillati; Actinomycetota.
GGGGACGACAGGCUUCGACGUGGUCGAUUCGUGGGGGUGGUUGCGAGUCGAGGUUCCGGGAGGCCUCGUAAAACCCCCGGAAAACAAUAAGUGCGGACACGCACACGUAUGACCUCGGCCUAGCGGCUUAGUCGCGAACCGUGGAUCUCUCGGCCUUCGCCCGCCUGCGGCGGAGAUAACCGGGAUCAGCUAGCAGGCUUACUCGGUAAGGAUCCGCUCCGGCCGACCCGAGGACACCUAACGGAGCUGGCCCUCGACAACCCGGCCGGCGAGGCGAGUCGAGGGCGAGAUCAGAGCGCCGGCUACGCUCGUAGAAGCCACCUUUCACGCGAUUGCGGACGUGGGUUCGAUUCCCACCGUCUCC